Molecule: long non-coding RNA, 3778 nt
Organism: Setaria italica (foxtail millet)
Lineage: Eukaryota; Viridiplantae; Streptophyta; Magnoliopsida; Poales; Poaceae
Exons: 7
Source: RefSeq, a predicted model, not a curated record
AAAUGGAACACAUAGAAGAGAGCUGGUAGAUUCAGUAUCAGCAACACUAGGAACCAUAAUAACCACUUAACAGUUCCAAAUUUAUUUAGCACCAUAAUUUAGCAACAUCACACAGAUAGAUCAGACGACACAGCAGACAGCAGGAUAAACAACCUCUUCUUGCCAGGGGCCUAUGCAGUUUCUUCCUCGGGGAGACGAAACAACCUCUUCUUGCCAUUGUCGAGGCGCUCGACCCUCACCAAGGCGUACCCCUUCUCGUCGUGCGUCGCGUCCGCAGGUACUGGAUGAAAUCUUCAUCCACCCUCUCGGUCCCGGCGGAGAUCACCGCUGGCUCCGGCUUGUCCUCCACCUUCGCCGCCUGCUCGAUGCUGCUCGCCAUGGCCCCCUCUUCUCUCCCUCCCUUCUCUCGCUCUCGAACCCUAGAUCUGGAUUGCGAUAUCGUCCUCCUUCGCGAUCCCCUGUUGGGCCGGACGAGCCCGUUAGCCCAACUCGGCGCGGACUCGGGCUUUGCUUCUGGUGUGUGAGACGAAAUGAAACUGUGACGCUGCAGGUGGGUUCUCUUCUCCCUCCCCCUCUUCUCUGCCGCCGCCGGCCCCGGCAGCCGGAACCCGAUACGAGGGGCCGGCCAUUCCGGCCGCCGGAGAUGCGUCCGCGGGCGAGGGUCGUCACGUGUUCGUGUGGAGGUAGAGGCGCUCUACGACGUGCCUCGUGCGCUACCUGCCACCGACCCGCGCCCGGCGCGGGAGAUCGCGUCUCCGCAGGUGGGCGGCGGCGGCGGCGGCGGCUCCGAUGAGGGCGCCCGGCGCGGGAGUUCCGGUGACGGGCUCGGAACCCACCCACCUGCCGAGCCAGAGGGGCAUUUUCACAUGGGGCAACAAUGGCAGGAGUUCAUUGGGCAACAUGAAUGACUGCUCUUUUUUUGGAGGAAGCUCAAGGUGAUCGACAGCUGGAAGAGAUUUAUGCUGUGAUUGGUUUCCUGCAUAAGGCCUAUACAGGCUUGCAUAAUGCAACCUUCCGGCAUUUGGUUGCAUGUUCAGCUCCUAAGCCAGGCUCCACUAGUGCAAAAAGAAGGCCUUAGCCUGGCUUGCUGGAAACACAUUUGAGAUCCGUUUAUGCCUAUGCAGGCUUGCACAAGCUGUCGGUGGUUCAUGUGAAUGUUUCGUGUCAUCGCCUCCUCACGCCAUUGGCACCGCCUCACCGGCGGCGGAGGGCCCACACGGCUGGCGGCGCCCCCUAGCAUCGGGAGAAGCUGAACAGGAGGAGGAAGGGCCGGAGGUGAGGAGGGUGUGGCCGGAGGUGGUGGGUGACUUCACCCAUGGCUUGUACAAGGUGAUCCUAACAAAUUGUACAGCCAACCAAUCAUAAUCUUAUGCUAGACCAUGUAACCAAACAUGAGCAGAUUGCACUGCAUUAGACAGGCAUAAGCUAGCCUGGCUCCAGAUUCUAGCCAGGCCAUGAUAAGCCAGGCAACCAAUCACAGCCUUAAUUGACUCACCACUUCAUUGGGGGUCAAAAUUCACAUCCAGUGUCAGCAACAGACAUAUUACUAUCAGAUAAUCCUACAACUGUGGGACCUACAUCAACGUGGCAAGGGGUUCACCCGAAGUGAAGAUUAUUUCCCAAUACUUGUUUCCAAGAAUUGAAUGGUGUGCGGGUGACUACAUCGAACAGCAGAUUGUCUUGCAUAAUUGUGGCGGGUUCCCCACGAGUGGCAAUUAUGGCCAGACUGACGUGGGCAACGGAGAACUUCGGCGCUAGGGCUCUGUCUAGGUUGAUUCGUUCGGGGAUGUCCCCAACUGAUCCACACGGCUUCGGAGCAGCUCCUUCGGUUCACCACCUGCAACUGUCUCCAUCCCAGUGGCCUGCCCCCAUCUGCCCAUGAUGGCAGCAGCACGGUUUGCACUGGGUUUGUAAUAUGCACCCUGCACUUUGUAUUGGUUUCACUCAUGGCUAUGGGUUCAGCUAGCAGGCCGCUAUCCCCAUGCACACCAUCUGAAGUUCCUUGGUCAGGUCUGGCCUAAAUUAAUGCUGCAUAGUUAGCCACCCUCUUCGUCUGUCCGAACUACCCCAGAUCUGAGGGUCAUGUUAUUCUGGCUGAAGGAGCUGUACACGGGGUUUGAGUUGUCGCGUUUUUUGUAAUAAUAUGGAGGUGGCAACAGUCUGCUAUUAUAGUACUAGGGACAACUUACGACUUCUCAACAGAGUUAAUAAAGGAACAACAAAACCAUGUGGGACCGUCAAUGUGAACAAAAUGUGAGUUCCUGUACAAUCAAAACAAUUUCUUUAACUUACAUGAGUUGCAUCCUCUUUGUUGGUUUCUGCAAUCACCCCAGGUAUGAUACUAACUUGCAUUUCUUGCCUUUAUUUUUUGCAAGCUAAUACAUGUUGUAAUAGUGUUCCAUAAAAGACUCUAUCUUUUGUUCCAUAUAAACCUUGUACUCUAGUGUUUUUAUGAUUGGAUGGAAGUAGUAGUGCUUUCUGAAAGCAUCAAAUAAACGACUGAGGUUGCACUUGGUACCUUAUGAAUGCAAAAAAUUAUAAAUGGCGUGUUCUGUUCCAUGCUCAGAAAUAACGCCCAGAAUGGUUUCUCACAAGUGAGAUAUUAAUUUAGUGUUUUGUCACUUACUGGCGAUGUGUAAUUCAUAUGAUUCAAAAUUAUAAUGUUAACAAAUUGGUGAAUGAUCUCUAACGUUUUCUGUGGUGAUGUAACUCUUGUGCUUUACUGGUAAGAUUUCACAAUGUGUCACAUUGAUAUUGGGGUGUUCACCUGUUUAUAUGUUUAUAUUAUGCCCCUUAAAAGAAAUGUUCAUGUUGCAGUCCUUAGCAAAUGACUGGGUCUGCGAGUAAACAUGUUAUGUCAUUCACAUUGGAAUGCAUUUUUUUGCUUAUCCUUUCCAUAUUUUUAAAUAAUUCCAUUAGUAAUGUUCUUGUAUAGCACAAUCUUCAAGAUUUCGAUGUGUCAGAAUGAAUUUUAUAGGGAAGUGCCUACUAAUGCGCAACCGCCCCAUUCUAGAUGCAAUGUUUUCUAUUGGCCUGAUUUUGUGUCCUUUCCUGCAGGGUAUAGCGAAGUAAAAAAAAACCUCAAUUACUGUGUGUUAGUAUUUGCAUUGCAUUUAAGGAUUUGAAUGAAAUUUCUGAUGAUCACAUUAUACCCAGGGGUGCUUACAGUCUAACAGCAACUUUUCGGUACAGAGGCUCCAGUCCCGAUGUUUUGGAUGCAGUGACCCAGUGUUUUGAAUGCAGUGAUGAUACACAUGGCUGCUGAAAUUGCGGUGAGAAUAGGAUAGUGGUAGAAGGGUGAGAGCUUUGCUUUAAGUGCACAGUUUUGCUAUGCCGUGUGGACCUGUACCGAGGGCAGGUGAAGUGGGAGGAGCAGAGCGAGAAGUUGUUAUGAUCAAGAUACAGCUCUUGUUCAGUGUUCUUGAUAUUGGUACCCAUAAGUAGGCACAAAUGUUUAUUACCUUUAGAUUUGUAUAUGUAUUCUUUUCUAAUCUUGUGAAUUUGUUUUCAAUUUUUUGUCAUUUAGAUGGUCAAAGUUACUGCAACUAUAUUGUCAAAUUGAUCUCUCAUGGGGUGAAAAUAUCACUUUUUUAUAGUCUUUGUUCCUGACAUGUGGUGUCAAUAUUCCCAUUAAGUUUCAUUUGUUUUUUCAUCAAUAUUCUAAUUAAAUUCCUGUUAAGUGGAACAGGCUAAAAAUUGUAUUUUCUAUGUGUUUUUUCUUUGUGUUAGGAAUCUGAAACUUUUUUCUCGAGAAAUCACAUGUAUUUUCAUUUGUUGU